AAAGUAGACAGCAAAAUAAUCCCACCGUGCAGAAGAUGUAGUUUUAAAUGUAGAAAAUUAACAUUGCAAUUUCUGUUAUUCAAAAAAUUAAAUUCUUUCUUAUGUUAGAGUUUAAAGGGCUGUGGGGACAAUGAUGUAGUCAGUGAUGCUGAGAAUUUUUUUGUAUUUUUAUAAAUUAUUUCUUAAGGAAAUACAUACGGCAGACUGUAAUUGUGGAUUCAUAAUUGGCUAUUUCCUCAUUUUGGGUCACUAUAGAUGAAGCUGAACUCGGACGUGGUAUAUACGAGACGUAAAGUGGAAAUUGAGAAACUUUCUGAGGACAGUUGCGCUGUGGUCGCUGCUCCCUCACGAGAUGGAAAACCCAUCACUCCUCCACCACGAGCUCCUAAAUCACACGUCAGCACACGGGUUCUGCAUGAGACGGGGGCCUCGAAUGAGCAGCAGGUCCUGGAAAUGAGCAGCAGCUGCAGAACUACAGCGGUGUGUUGCUAGAAGUGCGGAGCACCGAGCGAUUACUGAGUGAUGGUCACUGUUCUCACCAGGUGGGAUUGCUUACCAUCUGGAUGGAAUAUGGGCACACAAACAAACAAGCAAGCCAAGUAGUUCUGCUGAGUGCCUCAUACCAGCAUGAUAGAUAUUAGAAAGUUAAUUUACUAUGCUACAGUGAGCGAAACCAGUCACAGAGGUUAAGGUUGCAGCAACGGCACUAACGGCCAAGGAUGAGCUGUCAGUUACAUCGGCAGCGAAGGUACCUGCACCGUUGUCUAGUGAUGUUAGAGCUGGGUGUGAAAUCAAAGUGGACCUCAGUGGGAUUGCUUCUUUAUGCUCUUCGAACGGAUAUUAGACAUUCAUGC
RNAcentral lists this long non-coding RNA (854 nucleotides) under Scleropages formosus (Asian bonytongue). RNAcentral describes it as "lncRNA (ENSSFOG00015028402.1)". The record is from RNAcentral. Lineage: Eukaryota; Metazoa; Chordata; Actinopteri; Osteoglossiformes; Osteoglossidae.